UAGGAAACGAAUACAAAUGAUAAUCCA
Molecule: non-coding RNA, 27 nt
Filed under: Homo sapiens (human)
Lineage: Eukaryota; Metazoa; Chordata; Mammalia; Primates; Hominidae
Source: RNAcentral